RNAcentral lists this non-coding RNA (30 nucleotides) under Rattus norvegicus (Norway rat). Lineage: Eukaryota; Metazoa; Chordata; Mammalia; Rodentia; Muridae. The record is from RNAcentral.
UCCAAGGUCAAAGCAGUGUCCUCCUGGAGC